This 522-nucleotide ribosomal RNA is filed under the name Phoma sp. HD-2014. RNAcentral describes it as "eukaryotic LSU rRNA". The stretch from base 163 to 316 matches the Rfam family "5.8S ribosomal RNA". The record is from RNAcentral. Lineage: Eukaryota; Fungi; Ascomycota; Dothideomycetes; Pleosporales; Didymellaceae.
CGAUGUACUGCGGAGGACAUUACCUAGAGUUGCGGGCUUUGCCUGCCAUCUCUUACCCAUGUCUUUUGAGUACCUUACGUUUCCUCGGCGGGUCCGCCCGCCGACUGGACAAUUUAAACCACUUGCAGUUGCAAUCAGCGUCUGAAAAAACUUAAUAGUUACAACUUUCAACAACGGAUCUCUUGGUUCUGGCAUCGAUGAAGAACGCAGCGAAAUGCGAUAAGUAGUGUGAAUUGCAGAAUUCAGUGAAUCAUCGAAUCUUUGAACGCACAUUGCGCCCCUUGGUAUUCCAUGGGGCAUGCCUGUUCGAGCGUCAUUUGUACCUUCAAGCCUUGCUUGGUGUUGGGUGUUUGUCUCGCCUCUGCGCGUAGACUCGCCUCAAAACAAUUGGCAGCCGGCGUAUUGAUUUCGGAGCGCAGUACAUCUCGCGCUUUGCACUCAGAACGACGACGUCCAAAAGUACAUUUUUACACUCUUGACCUCGGAUCAGGUAGGGAUACCCGCUGAACUUAAGCAUAUAAA